UACGUAGGGGGCUAGCGUUGUCCGGAAUCAUUGGGCGUAAAGAGCGUGUAGGCGGCUUGGUAAGUCCGCUGUGAAAGUCCAGGGCUCAACCCCUGGAAUGCCAGUGGAUACUGUCAAGCUAGAGUCCGGAAGAGGCGAGUGGAAUUCCUGGUGUAGCGGUGAAAUGCGCAGAUAUCAGGAGGAACACCAAUGGCGAAGGCAGCUCGCUGGGACGGUACUGACGCUGAGACGCGAAAGCGUGGGGAGCAAACAGG
RNAcentral lists this ribosomal RNA (254 nucleotides) under uncultured bacterium. Its description in RNAcentral is "partial 16S ribosomal RNA". It matches the Rfam family "Bacterial small subunit ribosomal RNA", at positions 524 to 776 of the family's 1533-position model. The record is from RNAcentral.